CCUACGGGUGGCAGCAGUGAGGAAUAUUGGUCAAUGGGCGCGAGCCUGAACCAGCCAAGUCGCGUGAGGGAUGACGGUCCUACGGAUUGUAAACCUCUUUUGCCGGGGAGCAAGCGUGCGUUCGUGAACGCACGUCGAGAGUACCCGGAGAAAAAGCAUCGGCUAACUCCGUGCCAGCAGCCGCGGUAAUACGGAGGAUGCGAGCGUUAUCCGGAUUUAUUGGGUUUAAAGGGUGCGUAGGUGGUUAAUUAAGUCAGCGGUGAAAGUUUGUGGCUCAACCAUAAAAUUGCCGUUGAAACUGGUUGACUUGAGUAUAUUUGAGGUAGGCGGAAUGCGUGGUGUAGCGGUGAAAUGCAUAGAUAUCACGCAGAACUCCGAUUGCGAAGGCAGCUUACUAAACUAUAACUGACACUGAAGCACGAAAGCGUGGGGAUCAAACAGGAUUAGAUACCCUAGUAGUC
RNAcentral lists this ribosomal RNA (461 nucleotides) under uncultured bacterium. RNAcentral's name for it is "partial 16S ribosomal RNA". It matches the Rfam family "Bacterial small subunit ribosomal RNA", at positions 338 to 795 of the family's 1533-position model. The record is from RNAcentral.